ACAGUGGACGCGAGCAUCUGUGGCCAAGUUUUUAAGGGCGCACGGUGGAUGCCUUGGCACCAGGAACCGAUGAAGGACGUGGGAGGCCGCGAUAGGCCCCGGGGAGUCGUCAACCAGGCUUUGAUCCGGGGGUGUCCGAAUGGGGAAACCCGGCAGUCGUCAUGGGCUGUCACCCGCUGCUGAACACAUAGGCAGUGUGGAGGGAACGCGGGGAAGUGAAACAUCUCAGUACCCGCAGGAAGAGAAAACAACCGUGAUUCCGGGAGUAGUGGCGAGCGAAACUGGAUGAGGCCAAACCGUAUGCGUGUGAGACCCGGCAGGGGUUGCGUAUGCGGGGUUGUGGGGUUGCUCUUCCACGGUCUGCCGGCCGUGGGGCGAGUGAGAAACCGUAUGGAUAGGCGAAGGGCAUGCGAAAGGCCUGGCGUAGAGGGUAAGACCCCCGUAGUCGAAAUCUGUGCGGCUCGCUUGAGUGAUUCCCAAGUAGCACGGGGCCCGAGAAAUCCCGUGUGAAUCUGGCGGGACCACCCGCUAAGCCUAAAUAUUCCCUGGUGACCGAUAGCGGAUAGUACCGUGAGGGAAUGGUGAAAAGUACCCCGGGAGGGGAGUGAAAUAGUACCUGAAACCGUGUGCCUACAAGCCGUGGGAGCGUCGCUGGCGGGUUUUCCCGUCAGUCGUGACUGCGUGCCUUUUGAAGAAUGAGCCUGCGAGUUUGCGGUGUGUUGCGAGGUUAACCCGGGUGGGGUAGCCGUAGCGAAAGCGAGUCCGAAGAGGGCGUUUGAGUAGCACGCUCAAGACCCGAAGCGGGGUGAUCUAGCCAUGGGCAGGUUGAAGCGGAGGUAAGACUUCGUGGAGGACCGAACCCACCAGGGUUGAAAACCUGGGGGAUGACCUGUGGUUAGGGGUGAAAGGCCAAUCAAACUCCGUGAUAGCUGGUUCUCCCCGAAAUGCAUUUAGGUGCAGCGUCGUGUGUUUCUUGCCGGAGGUAGAGCACUGGAUAGGCGAUGGGCCUUACCGGGUUACUGACCUUAGCCAAACUCCGAAUGCCGGUAAGUGAGAGCGCGGCAGUGAGACUGUGGGGGAUAAGCUCCAUGGUCGAGAGGGAAACAGCCCAGAGCAUCGACUAAGGCCCCUAAGCGUGCGCUAAGUGGGAAAGGAUGUGGAGUCGCAGAGACAACCAGGAGGUUGGCUUAGAAGCAGCCAUCCUUGAAAGAGUGCGUAAUAGCUCACUGGUCUAGUGAUUCCGCGCCGACAAUGUAGCGGGGCUCAAGCGUACCGCCGAAGUCGUGUCAAUCCAGCAUGUGGGUUAACGCCCGCUGGGUUGGGUAGGGGAGCGUCGUCUGCCGGGUGAAGCAGCCGUGGAAGCGAGUUGUGGACGGUUGACGAGUGAGAAUGCAGGCAUGAGUAGCGAUUCACACGUGAGAAACGUGUGCGCCGAUUGACCAAGGGUUCCUGGGUCAAGCUGAUCUGCCCAGGGUAAGUCGGGACCUAAGGCGAGGCCGACAGGCGUAGUCGAUGGAUAACCGGUUGAUAUUCCGGUACCCGCUGUGAAGCGCCCGACAUCGAAUCCAGUGAUGCUAAGCCCGUGAAGCCGCCCGUCUUCAGCUUUGCUGUUGGUGGGAGUGGUGGAGCCGGUGGCCCGAGCUGGUAGUAGGUGAGUGAUGGGGUGACGCAGGAAGGUAGUCCAUCCCGGGCGGUGGUUGUCCCGGGGUAAGGGUGUAGGACGGUGUGUAGGUAAAUCCGCAUGCCAUUGAGUCUGAGACCUGAUGCCGAGCCGAUUGUGGUGAAGUGGAUGAUCCUAUGCUGUCGAGAAAAGCCUCUAGCGAGUUUCAUGGCGGCCCGUACCCUAAACCGACUCAGGUGGUCAGGUAGAGAAUACCGAGGCGUUCGGGUGAACUAUGGUUAAGGAACUCGGCAAAAUGCCCCCGUAACUUCGGGAGAAGGGGGGCCAGUCCUGGUG
RNAcentral lists this ribosomal RNA (1957 nucleotides) under Streptomyces thermoviolaceus subsp. thermoviolaceus. Its description in RNAcentral is "partial 23S ribosomal RNA". It matches the Rfam family "Bacterial large subunit ribosomal RNA", at positions 1 to 1762 of the family's 2925-position model. The record is from RNAcentral. Lineage: Bacteria; Bacillati; Actinomycetota; Actinomycetes; Kitasatosporales; Streptomycetaceae.